RNAcentral lists this ribosomal RNA (364 nucleotides) under uncultured bacterium. RNAcentral describes it as "SSU rRNA". It matches the Rfam family "Bacterial small subunit ribosomal RNA", at positions 26 to 369 of the family's 1533-position model. The record is from RNAcentral.
AGAACGAACGCUGGCGGCGUGGAUAAGACAUGCAAGUCGAGCGCUGAUUAAAGGGUAGCAAUAUCUUUUAAUUGGAGCGGCGCAAGGGUGCGUAACACGUGGGUAAUUUGCCAUGAAGUUGGGGAUAACUUGCUGAAAGGCGAGCUAAUACCGAAUGUGGCCCGACGGAGACAUCUCUGUUUGGCUAAAGCUGGGGACCGCAAGGCCUGACGCUUCAUGAUAAACCCGCGGCCUAUCAGCUAGUUGGUGAGGUAACGGCCCACCAAGGCUAAGACGGGUAGCUGGUCUGAGAGGACGACCAGCCACACUGGAACUGAGAGACGGUCCAGACACCUACGGGUGGCAGCAGUCGAGAAUUUUUCAC